Solea senegalensis (Senegalese sole) is the source of this 967-nucleotide long non-coding RNA. RefSeq lists it as uncharacterized. The transcript is spliced from 5 exons. The record is from RefSeq and is a predicted model, not a curated record. Lineage: Eukaryota; Metazoa; Chordata; Actinopteri; Pleuronectiformes; Soleidae.
CUUAAUCCAUCGUGGAUGACAACAGAGCAAUUGACAGCACAGCCUAAGCUGGUAAUCGCUGCUGGGCUGUGAAGUAGGAGAAUAACUGCAGGAGUAUCGCUGUCCAACCAUAUUCCCUUUCUUUUAUUUCUUUUGUGAGGAAACAUUUUUCACGAUGCAUUACUGCAAGUCAGAAAGAUGAAGGGACAUCUGACCCUGCCUAGAUUCAGGGCUGCAGUGAUCUGUUUAUGGGCUCCCACAUCCUGGUGCUAAAACUGACCACUUUCAAGUGUCAUAAUUGGCACUUAACAACUGAGGAAUAUCAAGAUGUAAGAGGGAGUACAAACUGGAGAUCAACAACCUGCACUCCAGUACUAUAGCAGCCACUCUCACCUGUUGUUCAGUGACAGUGGGGAGCACCACCGGCAUGACAGCAGAGGGAGUCUCGUCUACAGGACCUCUGGUAACCACCAGCUUCACCCGAUUGCCACACUGCCUCAGGACCUGGGCCACCUGCUCACUGCCCAUGCCACACAGAGAACCGUUUGCUUUCUGAGUGUAUUUUACCGCACUGGAGUUGGCUGACACUGUACUGGCAGCAGAGGGUGUGCGGGACACCACAGGACUGGCCAGCUGAGGUAUUGGGCCUCUAGCAAUUGUGAGCUGCACCCUCUCUGAAGCAGUCUGCAGGAUGCUAAUAGCCUGCUGAUGGGUCACUGUUUGGUCCAGGGGCUGGCCAUUGAUGGCCAAGAUCUGGUCUGCCUCUUUGAGCUUUCCAUCGCUGUAUGGAAAAGAAGAGGAGUCGUUUAGACACGGGCAUGAAGCAAUUUAUGUUGUCAGAGCCUUGAAGAUUUCAGAAUCUGACACUUUAAUGUUAGUAUCCUUGUAGUUGUAGCACAAAUGUAUCACAUAUAAACUCAAACUUUAAAUUAUGGGUGAAAACAUUUUUUUAUAAAUACUGUGAAAACAUCUGAAUCAGUCUUAGAAA